Molecule: ribosomal RNA, 282 nt
Filed under: Haloferax larsenii
Lineage: Archaea; Methanobacteriati; Methanobacteriota; Halobacteria; Halobacteriales; Haloferacaceae
Description: partial 16S ribosomal RNA
Rfam family: Archaeal small subunit ribosomal RNA
Source: RNAcentral
CUAGUCGCACGAGUUCAUACUCGUGGCGAAUAGCUCAGUAACAGGGCCAAACUACCCUUCGGAACACAAUACCCUCGGGAAACGAGGCUAAUAGUGUAUCCCAUACCACCACUGGAAUGAGUGGUAUGUCAAACGCUCCGGCGCCGAAGGAUGUGGCUGCGGCCGAUUAGGUAGACGGUGGGGUAACGGCCCACCGUGCCAAUAAUCGGUACGGGUCAUGAAAGUGAGAACCCGGAGACGGCAUCUGAGACAAGAUUCCGGGCCCUACGGGGCGCAGCAGGC